CGCAGAGUGUGGCCCCUGUAAUGGGGCUUAAUGCGGCCAGUGGCGGUCACAAGCCCGC
RNAcentral lists this non-coding RNA (58 nucleotides) under unclassified sequences. The record is from RNAcentral.